Molecule: non-coding RNA, 392 nt
Organism: Camellia sinensis
Lineage: Eukaryota; Viridiplantae; Streptophyta; Magnoliopsida; Ericales; Theaceae
Source: RefSeq, a predicted model, not a curated record
UCUUAUUAGUGUUGAUCAGUUGUGUGAAAUUCAUGGAGUUCCAAUUGGACCUGGAUUUUGCAAAGUUUUUGUUUUAAAAGCGAACAAGCCGAACGCUGUUUUGGAAACAACUUCCCGAUGUCUAAGAACAGAUGGAGAAGCUGUGGGAAGAUACAUUGUGUGGCGCUCGAUUCAUGUGCAACCCUUUUGAAUGCAAACCUUUUGAGUACGUGAUAUCUUCGCAUAUCGAUAUGGGAGCUUACUAUUGAUAUCAAAACAAGCUACAUUAUAUCUGUUUUUAUUUUUUUAUUUCUAUUGUCGAUACUAAAAAUUUGAGUUCUUCAAUUUCAAAAAUUAUUAGUAUUGUUAGAAGUUAUUUUAUAUAUUUUUGUAAAUAAUAUUUGAUUGACAAU